This 460-nucleotide ribosomal RNA is filed under the name uncultured bacterium. RNAcentral describes it as "partial 16S ribosomal RNA". It matches the Rfam family "Bacterial small subunit ribosomal RNA", at positions 338 to 795 of the family's 1533-position model. The record is from RNAcentral.
CCUACGGGAGGCUGCAGUGAGGAAUAUUGGUCAAUGGGCGAGAGCCUGAACCAGCCAAGUCGCGUGAAGGAUGAAGGAUCUAUGGUUUGUAAACUUCUUUUAUAAAGGAAUAAAACGAGGCACGUGUGCCUUUUUGCAUGUACUUUAUGAAUAAGGAUCGGCUAACUCCGUUCCAGCAGCCGCGGUAAUACGGAUGAUCCGAGCGUUAUCCGGAUUUAUUUGGUUUAAAGGGAGCGUAGAUGGGUUGUUAAGUCAGUUGUGAAAGUUUGCGGCUCAACCGUAAAAUUGCAAUUGAUACUGGCAGUCUUGAGUACAGUUGAGGUAGGCGGAAUUCGUGGUGUAGCGGUGAAAUGCUUAGAUAUCACGAAGAACCCCGAUUGCGAAGGCAGCUUACUAAACUGUGACUGACAUUGAUGCUCGAAAGUGUGGGUAUCAAACAGGAUUAGAUACCCCAGUAGUC